UUGAGCCGGGUGAAAGGAAACUUCCACACCCGAUUUUAAAGGGGGGACAAAACUGAAAAUUUCUUUUUUUGAUAACCAAAACUGGAACUGUUCGAUCGAUCUGUUUGCUUGUAUGCCCACCCUAU
RNAcentral lists this non-coding RNA (125 nucleotides) under Solanum pimpinellifolium. Lineage: Eukaryota; Viridiplantae; Streptophyta; Magnoliopsida; Solanales; Solanaceae. The record is from RNAcentral.